This 749-nucleotide long non-coding RNA is filed under the name Phoenix dactylifera (date palm). RNAcentral describes it as "long non-coding RNA (PDAC_LNC013371)". Lineage: Eukaryota; Viridiplantae; Streptophyta; Magnoliopsida; Arecales; Arecaceae. The record is from RNAcentral.
UGUUAUGGGGGAAUUGAGCCGCCAUGCCCCACGUGAUCGGCACGCGUAUCCAGGAAAGCUACAGCUGCCCUAUGAUCCAGCACUCCGACCCCGAGUCGGACCUCCUCGGCUCCGCAGCCCGACCCCGGGUCGGCUGCCCUAUGAUCCAGCACUCCGACCCCGAGUCGGACCUCCUCGGCUUCGCAGCCCGACCCCGGGUCGGCUGCCCUAUGAUCCAGCAUCCCGACCCUGAGUCGGAGAUCUUUUGAUAACGACAGGCUAUUCUCCAGAGGCACGCCGCGGCCUCCUGCUCCACUACUCCCUGCAACGGCUGUACCCGAUGCUGCCCACGAUCUCCUGUAUCAACCGUACAAAGCGGAGCUCCACUACGCCCUGCCAUGACCGUACCCAGCGCUGCUCCACGACGCCCCGUAACGGCCAUGUCAGUGGCCAUUCUAUCGUGCCCCACGACGACAAACCCCCCUGAGAGACCUCCCAGCCAGGUAUAUAUGCGGCUGGGGGGAGAAGGGGGGGUAAGCAAUACCUCCCAGAGCACUCUCUCCCACUUGUGAUUAUCAUCUCUCCUCCUCCAAUCUCCUCUGACUUGACCGUCGGAGGGCCAUCACCACCCUGGUGGUGGUGCAAGGCUUGUUUGCAGGUUCCUUGGCGGAAGGUGGAGCGCAACCAGCACCAACCAAGACAACUCAGGCGGAACCCCGUUCACACCGUCGUGUCAAUCGUUCUCGGUUUGGACCACCAGCAACAAUUAU